Molecule: non-coding RNA, 109 nt
Organism: Cephalotus follicularis
Lineage: Eukaryota; Viridiplantae; Streptophyta; Magnoliopsida; Oxalidales; Cephalotaceae
Source: Rfam
GGGUGUGAUCAUACCAGCACUAAUGCACCGGAUCCCAUCAGAACUCCGAAGUUAAGCGUGCUUGGGCAAAAAUAGUUCUAAGAUGGGCUUGUCUUAUGAUUUUCAUAGA